RNAcentral lists this transfer RNA (86 nucleotides) under Clostridia bacterium. RNAcentral describes it as "tRNA-Tyr". It matches the Rfam family "tRNA". From Rfam's summary of the family: Transfer RNA (tRNA) molecules are approximately 80 nucleotides in length. Their secondary structure includes four short double-helical elements and three loops (D, anti-codon, and T loops). Lineage: Bacteria; Bacillati; Bacillota; Clostridia. The record is from RNAcentral.
AGGUGAGUCGUAUAGCGGUCAAUUACCUCAGACUGUAAAUCUGAUGCCUCCGGGCUUCGUUGGUUCGAAUCCAACCUCACCUACCA